GAUGAACGCUGGCGGCGUGCCUAAUACAUGCAAGUCGAGCGAACAGAUGAGGAGCUUGCUCCUCUGACGUUAGCGGCGGACGGGUGAGUAACACGUGGAUAACCUACCUAUAAGACUGGGAUAACUUCGGGAAACCGGAGCUAAUACCGGAUAAUAUAUUGAACCGCAUGGUUCAAUAGUGAAAGACGGUUUUGCUGUCACUUAUAGAUGGAUCCGCGCCGCAUUAGCUAGUUGGUAAGGUAACGGCUUACCAAGGCAACGAUGCGUAGCCGACCUGAGAGGGUGAUCGGCCACACUGGAACUGGAACACGGUCCAGACGCCUACGGGAGGCAGCAGUAGGGAAUGUUCCGCAGUGGGCGAAAGCCUGACGGAGCAACGCCGCGUGAGUGAUAAAGGUCUUCGGAUCGUAAAACUCUGUUAUUAGGGAAGAACAAAUGUGUAAGUAACUAUGCACGUCUUGACGGUACCUAAUCAGAAAGCCACGGCUAACUACGUG
This 497-nucleotide ribosomal RNA is filed under the name uncultured bacterium. Its description in RNAcentral is "partial 16S ribosomal RNA". It matches the Rfam family "Bacterial small subunit ribosomal RNA", at positions 28 to 507 of the family's 1533-position model. The record is from RNAcentral.